Molecule: long non-coding RNA, 309 nt
Filed under: Ananas comosus (pineapple)
Lineage: Eukaryota; Viridiplantae; Streptophyta; Magnoliopsida; Poales; Bromeliaceae
Description: long non-coding RNA (ACOM_LNC040940)
Source: RNAcentral
CGCGACUCGGACUUGUCCUGACACUCUCCAGAGCUGUCGACAAGCCUCCACAGUCAAACACCAGGGAUCUCACAUUUAAAUUUCAAAAAUAUAAAAUAACAAAUUUAAAAUUUGAAAACUAAAAAUAUCAAAUUUAAAAUUUAAAAUUUAAAAAUAUCAAAUUUAGAAUUUAAACUUUAAUAAAAUUUAAAAUUUGAAAACUUAAAAAAUCAAAUUUAAAAUUUAAAAUUUAAAAUAUUAAAUUUAAAAUUUAAACUUUUAUAAAAUUUAAAUUUUAAUUUAUUAAUUAUAAAUAUUAAAUUAUAAAUU